UACAGAGACUGCGAGCGUUAUUCGGAUUCAUUGGGCGUAAAGAGCUCGUAGGCGGCUUGGUAAGUCGGAUGUGAAACCUCCAGGCUCAACCUGGAGUCGCCAUCCGAUACUGCUAUGGCUAGAGUCCGGUAGGGGCCCACGGAAUUCCUGGUGUAGCGGUGAAAUGCGCAGAUAUCAGGAGGAACACCGGUGGCGAAGGCGGGUCUCUGGGCCAUUACUGACGCUGAGGAGCGAAAGCGUGGGGAGCGAACAGG
Molecule: ribosomal RNA, 254 nt
Filed under: uncultured bacterium
Lineage: Bacteria
Description: partial 16S ribosomal RNA
Rfam family: Bacterial small subunit ribosomal RNA
Source: RNAcentral